AAACAUCCGUGGUCAAUGAACCAUUACGACUAAGCCUCUCUUAUUUGGGAACAUUCCAAAUGAAUGUAUGACUUUCUUGAAACCUUUUUAGUGUACAUAUAUCCAUCAUCAAAGUACAGCAGAGAAACUUUGGUGAAGUGCA
Molecule: long non-coding RNA, 142 nt
Organism: Haliotis rubra (blacklip abalone)
Lineage: Eukaryota; Metazoa; Mollusca; Gastropoda; Lepetellida; Haliotidae
Exons: 3
Source: RefSeq, a predicted model, not a curated record